Molecule: unclassified non-coding RNA, 253 nt
Filed under: uncultured Gammaproteobacteria bacterium
Lineage: Bacteria; Pseudomonadati; Pseudomonadota; Gammaproteobacteria
Description: contains 16S-23S intergenic spacer region
Rfam family: Bacterial small subunit ribosomal RNA
Source: RNAcentral
UACGGAGGGUGCGAGCGUUAAUCGGAAUUACUGGGCGUAAAGCGCGUGUAGGCGGUUUGGUAAGUCGGAUGUGAAAUCCCCGGGCUUAACCUGGGAAUGGCAUUCGAUACUGUCAGACUAGAAUGUGGUAGAGGAAAGUGGAAUUCCCGGUGUAGCGGUGAAAUGCGUAGAUAUCGGGAGGAACAUCAGUGGCGAAGGCGACUUUCUGGACCAACAUUGACGCUGAGACGCGAAAGCGUGGGGAGCAAACAGG